GUCCACGGGCGGGAAUCGAACCCACAAUCUUCUGCUUACCGGGCAGGUGCCAUGUCCACUAGGCUACCCUGGA
Molecule: transfer RNA, 73 nt
Filed under: Cordylochernes scorpioides
Lineage: Eukaryota; Metazoa; Arthropoda; Arachnida; Pseudoscorpiones; Chernetidae
Description: tRNA-Thr
Source: RNAcentral